CCGCCCAUAGCUCAGUUGGUAGAGCAACAGCCUUUUAAGCUGAUGGUCGAGGGUUCGAAUCCCCCUGGGCGGACUA
Molecule: transfer RNA, 76 nt
Filed under: Candidatus Portnoyibacteriota bacterium
Lineage: Bacteria; Candidatus Portnoyibacteriota
Description: tRNA-Lys
Rfam family: tRNA
About the family: Transfer RNA (tRNA) molecules are approximately 80 nucleotides in length. Their secondary structure includes four short double-helical elements and three loops (D, anti-codon, and T loops).
Source: RNAcentral